CAUUUUUUAUUGAAGUAUAGUUGAUUUACAAUGUUGUAAUAAUUUCUGCUGUACAACAAAGUGACUCAGUUAUAUAUGUACACACAAUCCAUUCUCUUUCAGAUUGUUUUCCCAAUAGAUUACCACAAAAUAUUGGGUAGUGUUCCCUAUGCUAUAUCCAAGAGCACAGCAUGUCCCCAUUGGCCAAUCAUUCCAUAUAACUCAGUGGGCAUAUGCCAAUCCCAAACCCCCAGUCCAUUCCUCCCACUCCACCUGUCUCCUUUGGUAAACAUAAAUUUGUUUUCAAAGUCUGUGAGUCUGUUUCUGUUCUGCAAGUAAAUUCAUCUGUAUCGUUUUUUUUAGAUUCCACAUACAAGUGAUAUCAUAUGAUAUUUGCCUUUCACUAACUUCACUUAGUAUGAUAGUUUCUAGGUCCAUCCAUGUUGCUGCAAAUGGCAUUAUUUCAUUCUUUUUCAUGGCUGGGUAAUAUUCCAUUGUAUAUAUGUACCACAUCUUCUUUAACCAUUCCUCUGUUGUUGGACAUUUAGGGUGCUUCCACAUCUUGGCUAUUGAAAAUAGUGCUGCAAAGAACACAGGGGUGCAUGUAUAUUUUUGAAUUAUGGUUUUCUCUGGAUAGAUGCCCAGGAGUGGGAAUCUGGAUCAUAUACUAGUUCUAUUUUUAGUUUUUUGAGGAAUCUUCAUACUGUCCUCCAUAAUGGUUGCACCAAUUUACAUUCCCACAAACAGUGUAAGAGGGUUCCCUUUUCUCUGCACCCUCUCCAUUUAUUGUUUGUAGACUUUGUGAUGAUGGCCAUUCUGGCUGGUGUAAGGUCGCACUUCAUAUAGUUUCGAUUUGAAUUUCUCUAAUAAUUAGCAAUGUUGAGCAUCUUUUCAUCUGUUUCUUGGCCAUAUGUUUGUCUUUUUUGGAGAAAUGUCCAUUUAUAUCUUCUGCCAAUUUUUGAUUGGGUUAUUUGGGGUUUUUUUUAUGUUGAGGUGUACAAGCUGUUUAUAAUCACUGGAUAUUAAUCCCUGAUUGGUCAUAUCAUUUGCAACUAUUUUUCCAAUUCAGUAGGUGGUCUUUUCAAUUUUUGGAUGAUACGCACCCUCUUCAUAAGAAAAAGUUCUCAUAGACCUAAAAUACCACUUAGAUAUUUUUAAUGUACUGAUAUUUACAUCUGUGCAAACUUAAAACUAGGUGUAAGCAUCUUAUUUUUAUUGCUCUUACAUAACUAUAGAAAUUUGUAUGUUAAAUUUAAACCAAAAUAGCAUUCAAAUUAAUGAUAUUAAUUCAAUGUGACAGAUGACAUCAUUGCAUGGAAACAAAUUUCCACUCCUAACAUCCAACUGGCUGCCCCAGUACAGCUUCUUUUGAACUCAGCAACUUAAACCACUUGGGCCACAUGAUAGUUUUACUUACUUGAACUAGGGUAAAACCUUUGCUAAUAUAGCAAAAGACAGUGACUUCAUUGAACUUCAACGGUCCCAAAUGCCUCAUUUUGGGGUACAAAGUCCCUCUGCCUUCUUUUUUGUGUCAGCUGUUGAUAAUUAUAGUAAUGCCCACUGGUACAAUAAAAACACAAACACACAUGCUAACACUGAAAUCAACUCUCAGUACUCAAUGCUAAGGCAGCCAUUCAGGUGACCUACCAUUGAUUAUAUUUUUUCAAUGCCAUCUAGAUAAAUCAAAGUAAUUUGAAAAAUGGCACAGAGAGCUACACAUUCUGGAUAAUAUGCAAAACUAAUGAUGAAAUCUAACAUACUCAUUGUGGCAACAGCAUAGCUCAAAGCAACUAGCCCAAACUAGGUGAACCUCAGAGGUGGUAAUGGGUUAGAGAGAAGAGGGUAAAUAUGAGAAUUUUCAGUAUACUCUCUGGACAAGAUGCCAACAUCCAAUGGAUGUGGGGAAGAAGGAAUGCAAGGGUGGAUUCUGGAAUGCCUCCCAGGUUCCCAGUCUGACCAUGGACAUGCAUCAGGGUGAGCAAACACAGAAGAGGUAGAGAUUUGGGAAGGAAAGGCAAGUUCGCUCAGGCGUGUUGAAAUUAAAGCACCCUUGAGACUAAACCUUUAUCCUGAAUGCAGUUAUGUAUAUCAGACUGCACAGUCAUGAGUGAGGACUGGCUCAGAGAAAAAGAACUGGGAGUUAGAAAUAAGUGGUUGGUGAAGUAUUUAUAUAGAUGAGCUGGUGCACACACAGAGAAGUAGAAAGUGAGAGAAGAGGAAAGCAAUAAAAACGUUCACUAAAGAACUAGCCAUCAGAGGCAGUGGUAUAACCACAUGUAUAAAUCCACAAAUCCUAUGAAUUCAGGAUGAUCUAUGCUGAUGGAGGAAAACUGUAAUACGCAUAAUGUGAAAAACCAAUACAAACAUCGCUAUGUCUUUGCAUCGCCACAGAGAAGAAAGAAGUGUUUACAGAAGAUUUACUUGUGUUUGCUUAAACUUCGUGUGCUCUACCAGAAGGCACAUUAACUUAAAUAAAAGGGCAAAAUGGUAUAGAGUGUGGCAGUCAUUGCAGUUACCCACUCAAUAUCCAUUUCCCUUUCUUGACUUAAUCUUUCUCAGGGCAUCAGUGUGCCCAGCCGAGAAAUGCCUUUCCCAGCCUCUUUUGCACCUAUGAAUGGCCAUGUGACACAGUUCGGGUGGGUGCAAUGUAAGUAAAAGUCAUCAGAUGGAACUUCUGGGAAGGCUUUUUAAAAAGUAAAUAGACUCGGGGCAGUUCCCGUCAUGGCGCAGUGGUUAACGAAUCCGACUAGGAACCAUGAGGGUGCGGGUUCGGUCCCUGCCCUUGCUCAGUGGGUUAACGAUCCGGCGUUGCCGUGAGCUGUGGUGUAGGUCGCAGACGCGGCUCGGAUCCUGCGUUGCUAUGGCUCUGGCGUAGGCCAGUGGAUACAGCUCCGAUUUGACCCCUAGCCUGGGAACCUCCAUAUGCCGCGGGAGCGGCCCAAGAAAAAUGGCAAAAAGACAAAAAAAUAAAAUAAAAUAAAAUAAACUUCUUAAAAAAAAAAAAAGUAAAUAGACUCGGGGGACCAGAUGCUUUGUCUUUACCCUGAUGACGGAAACAUUAUAAUGAAGACAGAGUAACCAUGCUGUGACCUUGAGGCCCCAAGAACAUGAGUUGAAAUAGAGGAUGGUCCUGGGGGCUUCUUGGAACCCCAGCACCAGAUCUAGACCUCCUACUUCCAAAUAUAAGUAAGAAUAAUAAAACCUCUAAUUUUUUGUCGCUGUUUUCCAUUUCUUUAGGUCUUGGGGAAUUUCUACCCACCCAAAAGCCCUAUUAGAAAACUAUCUUAGGGGAGUUCCCAUUGUGGCUCAGCACUAACAAACAUGACUAGUAACCAUGAGGAUGUGGGUUCGUUCCCUGGCCUCACUCAGUGGAUUAAAUGAUCCAGCACGGUCGUGAGCUGUGGUGUAGGUCACAGAAGAGGCUCGGAUCUGGUGUUGCUGUGGCUGUGGUGUAGGCCGGCAGCUGCAGCUCUGAUUCAACCCCUAGCCUGGGAAAAGAAAAAGGAAAAUGGUCUUAGGUACAACAGGAAACCUGUCACUUGAUUAAACACAGCAAGAGGAAAAUGGAGAUGAGGCCAGGAGAUGAGCUGCCCAUGUUAAGUAGAGUCCCUCUGAGAUCCUGUCUACCAAACCUCCAAACUCUAACAUCCUCCACCAUGUUUUUAUUUGGGGUUUGCGUUUUCCUCCUAUCCUUAGCAUAGUGGAGGAAAAAGGAACAUAAAUAUGAAUACCACUAUUUACUAACAAUCAGUGGCUUCUCACUGUCCACUCAAUGAAGUAUAUGUAGGAUAAUUUAUUAACGAUCGAUUGGUGAUUUGUAUUAUCAGUGUUUUCCUUCCCUAUUCUAUUACUCAGGUUCACUGCCGCCUGACUUCCAAGGAGCUUUAGGGUAGAAGCUUGAAGGCCAGUUCCCUAAUACUCCUGCCUGCUGUUUGGUCUUCAAGAGCUGGAGUUCCAUUAAGGGUAUUAUGCUGGAGGAGGGAGGCAGAAGCAGAUGCAGCAAAGGAGAGAAGAGAGAUAGCCCUGCACGCAAAGGGCAUGGUGGGUUCCACAAACAGCAGGGACCCAUGUCAUUCUCCCGGCAGUGCCCGGAAGAGGGCACAGGGCCUCUGAGGGCACAACUGUGUGGUGAAAUGAAGGAGGCUGUACCUUGGACAACAGAACUCCAUGUGCAGAAAGAUUCCUUUGGCCCCAAAGAGCACAGAAACAGAACCACUGCCAGUUAAGGGUCUGUGACAGCUUUGACAAGAGGCUAUACCAUGAUGAGCUGAAAACUAGGGCAGCUCCCCUGUUUUUUAUUUAUUUGUUCUUUUUCCUUUUCUUUCUUUUUUUUUUUUUCCUUUUUUUUUUUUUUUUUUU
RNAcentral lists this long non-coding RNA (4338 nucleotides) under Sus scrofa (pig). RNAcentral describes it as "lncRNA (ENSSSCG00050000956.1)". The record is from RNAcentral. Lineage: Eukaryota; Metazoa; Chordata; Mammalia; Artiodactyla; Suidae.